RNAcentral lists this ribosomal RNA (253 nucleotides) under uncultured bacterium. RNAcentral's name for it is "partial 16S ribosomal RNA". It matches the Rfam family "Bacterial small subunit ribosomal RNA", at positions 524 to 776 of the family's 1533-position model. The record is from RNAcentral.
UACGUAGGGUGCGAGCGUUGUCCGGAAUUAUUGGGCGUAAAGGGCUUGUAGGCGGUUUGUCGCGUCGGGAGUGAAAACCUUGGGCUUAACUCAGGGCUUGCUUUCGAUACGGGCAGACUAGAGGUAUGCAGGGGAGAACGGAAUUCCUGGUGUAGCGGUGAAAUGCGCAGAUAUCAGGAGGAACACCGGUGGCGAAGGCGGGUCUCUGGGCCGAUACUGACGCUGAGGAGCGAAAGCGUGGGGAGCGAACAGG